Molecule: long non-coding RNA, 744 nt
Organism: Tachysurus fulvidraco (yellow catfish)
Lineage: Eukaryota; Metazoa; Chordata; Actinopteri; Siluriformes; Bagridae
Exons: 2
Source: RefSeq, a predicted model, not a curated record
UUUUAAAGCUGAUGCAACGAUUUUAAGGUUCCAUUAACUACGGGGAUUAUUUAUGACACGACGUGAAAUCCCACGUCGUGUCAUUCCCUCGGCGUGAGAAUGAAAUCACCAACAAUUUCACGACAAGAAUUUCAUCCUCUAAACAUAAUCGAAAUCAAAUCUGUAAAACAUUUUCGUUUCAAGAAAGAAAUCUAAUCAAAAAUUGUAGAAAAUGAGGCAGAAUAACCGAAGAACCAGGAAAAGUGUGUGUGUGUGUGUGUGUGUGUGUGUGUGUGUGUGUGUGUGUGUGUGUGUGUGUGUGUGUGUAGGCGUGUCUGUUCCAAUGAAAAUAAAAGAGCACAAAUUGGACCUUGUCACGUGACCAGUAAGCUUCCGCGUUUCCUAAAACCCUGAAUCUAACUUGGACUUUUAUAUCAGCAGCACGACUGAUAAGAGCCGAUGUCUACACGAUCUCUCAUCAGUGACAAGACUCCAGCUGAGCAGAAUCAAAUUCAGCUCCAUCGUGUAAAAGGACACCAUUUUUAUUUGGCGCGCUGUACAUUCGGGGGAAGCAACAGAGAAACAGAGGAAGUUUGUCCAAAUACUGACAGAAUGUUGGUUUUUUCAUGAACUCUCUCUAUACUUGAAGUGAACAAUGUUUUGCUCAAAUGCUUACCAUAAAACGAUAUAUUGAGAGAGAGAGAGAGAGAGAGAGAGAGAGAGAGAGAGAGAGAGAGAGAGAGAGAGAAAUGGGGGACAGGUCUA